CUCCUUGCUGGUUGGCGAAGCUGACCUCCAAGGGCGGUGCCCGGUCAUGGACAGUUUGCUGUUGGGAUUGGCUAGAAAGGUAGUUCCGCUGAGGCGUGGUAGGAAGUGGUGGCCGUCAAUCACGCGGGACUCCAAACACUGAGCCCUGAGCUGGAGAACAGCGUUUACCGGCGGGGCGGCCGGUUUUGUGAACAAAGCUAUGGCUACAGAUUCCCCCAGAAGACCCAGUCGCUGUACUGGUGGAGUUGUGGUUCGCCCCCAGGCUGUCACGGAGCAGUCUUACAUGGAAAGUGUUGUGACUUUUCUACAGGAUGUUGUGCCCCAGGCUUACAGUGGAACACCUCUAACAGAAGAAAAGGAGAAAAUAGUGUGGGUCAGAUUUGAAAAUGCAGAUUUAAAUGAUACAUCAAGAAAUCUGGAAUUUCAUGAAAUACAUAGUACUGGGAAUGAGCCCCCUUUGCUGAUUAUGAUUGGUUACAGUGACGGAAUGCAGGUCUGGAGUAUCCCUAUCAGUGGAGAAGCACAGGAGCUCUUUUCUGUUCGACAUGGCCCAACUCGAGCAGCUAGAAUCUUGCCUGCUCCACAGUUUGGUGCUCAAAAGUGUGACAACUUUGCUGAAAAAAGGCCCCUCCUUGGUGUUUGUAAGAGCACUGGAUCUUCUGGCACAAGUCCCCCUUACUGUUGUGUGGAUCUAUAUUCACUUCGUACUGGGGAGAUGGUCAAGUCCAUUCAAUUUAAAACACCUAUCUAUGAUCUCCAUUGCAACAAGCGGAUCCUCGUAGUAGUUUUGCAGGAGAAAAUUGCUGCCUUUGACAGCUGUACUUUCACAAAAAAAUUUUUUGUCACAAGCUGCUAUCCUUGUCCAGGGCCUAACAUGAAUCCCAUUGCUCUUGGGAGCCGCUGGCUUGCUUAUGCAGAAAACAAGUUGAUUCGAUGUCAUCAGUCCCGUGGUGGAGCCUGUGGAGACAACAUUCAGUCUUAUACCGCCACAGUCAUUAGUGCUGCUAAAACAUUGAAAACUGGCCUGACAAUGGUUGGGAAAGUGGUGACUCAGCUGACAGGCACGCUGCCUUCAGGUGUGACAGAAGAUGAUGUUGCCAUCCAUAGUAAUUCAAGGCGGAGUCCUUUAGUCCCAGGCAUCAUCACAGUAAUCGACACUGAAACAGUUGGAGAGGGUCAGGUGCUUCUGAGUGAGGAUUCUGACAGUGAUGGUAUUGUGGCCCACUUCCCUGCUCAUGAAAAACCAGUGUGCUGUAUGGCUUUUAAUACAAGUGGAAUGCUUCUAGUCACAACAGACACCCUUGGUCAUGACUUUCAUGUCUUCCAAAUUUUGACUCAUCCUUGGUCCUCAUCACAGAGUGCUGUCCAUCAUCUGUAUACUCUUCACAGGGGAGAAACUGAAGCCAAAGUACAAGACAUCUGCUUCAGCCAUGACUGUCGCUGGGUUGUGGUCAGCACGCUCCGUGGCACUUCCCAUGUUUUCCCCAUCAACCCUUAUGGUGGCCAGCCCUGUGUUCGAACACACAUGUCACCACGGGUCGUGAAUCGUAUGAGUCGUUUUCAGAAAAGUGCUGGGCUGGAAGAGAUUGAACAAGAACUGACGUCUAAGCAGGGAGGUCGCUGUAGCCCUGUUCCAGGUCUAUCAAGCAGCCCUUCUGGAUCACCUCUCCAUGGGAAACUAAACAGCCAAGACUCCUACAAUAAUUUUGCCAACAACAAUCCUGGCAACCCUCGUCUCUCCCCCCUGCCCAGCUUGGUGGUAUUGAUGCCUCUUGCCCAAAUCAAGCAGCCAAUGACAUUGGGGACCAUCACCAAAAGAACAGGGCCUUAUCUGUUUGGAGCGGGGUGUUUUUCCAUAAAAGCUCCAUGCAAAGUUAAACCACCUCCACAAAUUUCACCCAGCAAAUCAAUGGGCGGAGAAUUUUGCGUGGCUGCAAUGUUUGGGACAUCCAGAUCAUGGUUUGCAAAUAAUGCAGGUCUGAAAAGAGAAAAAGAUCAGUCCAAACAAGUUGUAGUUGAAUCUCUCUACAUUAUUAGCUGCUAUGGGACCUUGGUAGAGCACAUGGUGGAACCACGGCCGCUCAGCACCGCCCUCAAGAUCAGUGAUGACACCCCACUGGAAAUGAUGACAUCACCUCGAGCCAGCUGGACUCUGGUUCGAACUCCUCAAUGGAAUGAAUUGCAACCACCAUUUAAUGCAAACCACCCUCUGCUCCUUGCUGCAGAUGCAGUGCAGUAUUAUCAGUUUCUGCUUGCUGGCCCGGCCCCCGCCGGGAGCCCAGGGCCCGCGGCCCGGCGCGGCUCCUGUGACAGUUCAGCCUCCGAACACAGUGGACAGCAAGAUGAAGAAUGGCUUUCUCAGGUAGAAAUUGUAACGCACACUGGACCCCACAGACGUCUGUGGAUGGGUCCACAGUUCCAGUUCAAAACCAUCCACCCCUCAGGCCAGACCACAGUUAUAUCAUCCAGUUCAUCUGUGCUGCAGUCUCAUGGUCCAAGUGAUACUCCACAGCCCCUUUUGGAUUUUGAUACAGAUGAUCUUGAUCUCAAUAGUCUCAGGAUCCAGCCAGUCCGCUCCGACCCAGUCAGCAUGCCAGGGUCAUCCCGGCCAAUCUCUGACCGAAGGGGAAUUUCCACCAUGAUUGAUGCUGUCUCAGGUGCCUUCGACCGGAGCGUGACCCUUCUGGAGGUGUGCGGGAGCUGGCCAGAGGGCUUCGGGCUGCGGCACAUGUCCUCCAUGGAGCACACGGAGGAGGGCCUGCGGGAGCGGCUCGCUGAUGCCAUGGCCGAGUCACCAAGCCGGGACGUUGUGGGACCCGGAACAGGUAAAGACACAGCCCUUGAUGUAGCAGUAAAAAACAUCACCCCUGAGAGACACAUGGCUGUGAAGUGUGUUGCAUUCCAGCAUGCUCACUGCCCCUCAUCCUGCCCCUGCCCAGCUCAUCAGGAAGUUGGGGAUCUUGUCUACCUCUAAGCCCUGGCCUCAUGAUGUUAAUGCCACGCUGGCCUGCAGUCGUGAGUAGGAUUUCCAGAGGCCUGAAAGCCUUUCCUGUUUGACUCCUGGAGGGAAAAGGCAAUGGGAAGAAAGGUGAUGUGCCCUUUUCCCAGUUUUUCUGGGUGGAGGCUGACACGCAGACAGGGCUGUCUGUUCACCCAGGCUCCUGCCCAGGUGUUGGUAGCGCUUUCAUCUUCCAGGGGCCAGUAGAUGCCGAGGAAGCUCUGAGGUCCUCCCUAGGCCGCAGGUCUCCUCACAAACCCAGAGGUAACAAGGCACACACAUGGCCCCGUGGCCGAGGCAAGCAGUUCAUGGUGUCCUAAGCCAAGAGCACUAGCGAUUUACCCUCAGUGUCUAGAGCUGGUGGGUGGGGGCAGGGCAGGCCAUAUGGUCUUGACCUUAUUCUGAGGCAUUCUGGGUCUCAAUACCUGUGAGGAACAGGAGCGGAGCAAGGAGAAAGGAAAGUGCAUUUGCGGGAGCCCUGUGUGUUGAAAGAGUCCAGUGCAGGAAGGUGUGUUUCUGCCCUUGGGCUGCAGAACUGGGCCUCAGCCCCAGCUCUCAGGAGCCCCAGGCUGUGUGUGCGGUGAGCUCGCCAGAUAUAAGGGACAUCCGUGGGCCAGGGCUCUAUGCUCAGGCAGAGGUGUUAAGGCAGAGAUAACCAGGCCAGAGUUAGCCCUGCUUCUCAUCUACUCCAGGAUUCCUGUCAUCUAAAUGUGAGAAGCCUUUCAUCCUGGACCCCUCAGCUUUGAGAAACUGCCGCCCCUCCUUCCACCAGCAUGCCCAGGAAGGGGACCAAAGGCCCUGCUGAAAGAGAAAGGGAUCCCUUCUCAGUCUCCCCCAACCCCCAUCCUCCCAAAACCUCCAUGCUGGGCGCAGAGGGUCCCUCAUCUGUUGCCGUUGCUGCGGCUCAGCCGGCUGUGCAGCCUGUGUGAGAGGAGCCCAGGCUGUGGGCAGGGCUGGAGACGGGAGAAGGGGAGGAUGGCUGCCUGCAGCCACAAAGGUGGGUGUGUCUGAGGAGGAGAGAAAUGAGGCCUCCCUACAUGCUGCCUCCUUUAACUGCCGCCCUUUUAACCUUCUAAAAAGUGCCCUGGGCUGAGGCUGGCUGCAGUGCAGUGUGGUCUCCGACAGGGCUGUCAGCGUUCUCAGCCAACUCCAUCUCUGUCUCCCUGAACAGACUUCUGCCUGCCUCAGCUACACUCUGGAGAGAGCAGUAGUCUCCUGGUGUAAGACAAGCAGCCUGCAACUGUGUCCACCAGGGCCACCUCAUGGUUGGCAUCUGGGCCAUCUCUCCAGGCUCCAGCACCGGGAAGCCACCAAUCCCACUGAGCCCCGCAGGAUACAUUCAAGCCCCCAACCUCCUUAGCUCUUCUCUCUCCAAGCCCCAGUUUGCAUAGUUGGUUCCAGGCCCUGGCAGGCCCCUUGCUGGAUGAGCUGCUUGCUCGUGCCAGGCUGCACAUUACUGAAUGUGCAGCUAUCCUGUGGGCCGCUGGGCUCUUGGCCAUCCCCACCCAAGGAUGCUGACAGCCCCUAACCUCCUAGUCAGAGCCGCCCACCCGCACUGCCCCACCUCACUCCCCAGCAAGAACCCUCACAGCAGAAGGGGGCUGGAACUGUUUGUGUGUGCAGACCUCUCCAAGCCAGGCACUAGGCAAGAUAGAGCAGUCUAGCUGAAUGCCCUGUGCUCUGGGGCCACCCCUCCCCUGAGGUGCCACUGAGCCCAACACAAGCAAGGGGCUUAACCACAGGCCCUGCUCAUGGGGGAGAACUGGCAGGUGGACACAGGAGGGAAAAUCAAUGCAUGUCAACAGGGUUGGAAAUUUAUUUUACAGCUUGGAAGAGGGUAUUUACAAAGAGGCAAGGAGGGAAAUGAAAAGCUGUAAACACAUAUCUGCCAUCUUCCUCCGUGGUCCAUAUCUUGAUUAUAAAAAGAAUCCUUCCCAAGCUCCAGUGGAGAGCAAGCUGCAGGGGCCUGGAUGGCAGACACCUGCUGGAGAGAGGGCACAGAGAGGGACCCUGCAGGCCUGUGGACAAUCACAAUCACUAAUGUAACUGCAGCAACUAUAGUAACCCACAUUUGCUGACUGGAAGCUUUAAGCACACGGUGAUGCACUCUACACGCAUUAUUUAAUUCAAUUCUUACCAGCAUGGUAUGAAACAGACAUUGUUAUCCUCAUAUGCAGGAAACUGAGGCACAGAGAUAUUGAGUAACUUGCCCAAAGCCUCCCAGGUGGCAGGGGGCUGGAGCCAAGUUCUUAUCCACGUCCCCAGACUGUGUCCUCUACCUAAGCAGACACUGCGCCUCCCUCUUUCUCUGGCCCUCGAGGUGGUAGGUGGGGGCAGGCGGAGUGUCCUCCCUUCUCCUCCCCGCCAGCCCAGGUGAGACUCUGCCCCGAGUCCAGUCCUACUCCCUGGAGGCCGCUUGGGUGGUUGGGUUAGGACGCGGUGUGUGGCUGCAGUCAGGGCCCAAUGAAAGUGCUUUGCUAAUCCCCCAAGUGAGCAGCAUCGUGAGGCUCUGAGUGUACAGAGCAGGGCUGGCUGCUGAGCACACCAGAGGUCCAGGCUGUAGAUUCUGCUCCUUUUGUAGCAGGGAAGUGCCAGGGCUACCUGGAGGCCGAACUGGCAGUGGAUCCCAGGCAACCUCUUCCAAACACAGACACACACACACAGCACUGCCCUCACUGACGUUGCCAGAUCCCACUUGGGCUCUCCACAGUGGCCCCCCUACCAGGGGCCAAAGGGGGCUUCCCUUGUGGUCUCUGCUUGGCCAGCUGUCCCCACUGCCAUCCAGCCUGAAAGAGGCUGGAGAAAGUCAAGCCCAGGGAUGUCACUCCUGGCCUCCCACUGGGGCUCCCACCUGCCUGGGCUUCCCCAGCUCCCCCCCCCCUCAGGCUCACAUAAGCCCUGUGUCCUCAGGGUUACACCCCCUCCCCAGGGAAUGGGGGAGCCAGGACCGGAGCUGAGCAAAGGGACUGAUGUGUGAAAGAGGCCUCCGUCCGGUCUGUUCCCUGAAGGCCCUGCCUUGCUAGGCAUGGGCGGCCUCCAGGGAGGAAGGACCUGUACCCAGGAAGAGGACAGCCCACAGAGAGGGAGGUCCUCAUGCCCUGCCCCCGGGUGCCACCUGGUGCCUGUGAGAGAGUCCCCCUCUGCCUCCAUCCUCUGCCCCUCCACCAGCGUCAGCACCCAUUCACAGCUCCCCGGAGCCUUUCUCUGCUGCACCGGCCUUUGCCCAGGGGCCGUAGCAUCCCACUGUGGGAUGCAGGCGCAGGGUGUCGGCAGGGUCAGCUGCCACAGAGAGGCUCCCUCGCUCUGCAUGGCCUGGCCUGGACAUGGGGUAACGUUUGCAGGCAGCCAUGUUCCUCCCUCUUCACAGAGACUGGAACAACUCUUCUCUGGGUCUCUGUGCAUACACACCCACAUAACCCAAGUUGCUUCUCCCUAACAAGGUCAGCCACCUCUCUGCCCUCUCUGACACCUUUGAAUCUUGCCAGGCUCCAUAUAGAGAGGGGGCAACACAAGGACGUAGCUUUCUCAUUCCCUCACCUAUUUCCUGAGAGCUGAGGCUCCUCCCUUUUAGUUGUUGCUCAUUCUCUUGUCCCCCUACGAGUUAUGGGUUGUCCAUCCUGGCCCGUGGCAUUGAGGGACAUGUGGGGUAGCAGGUCCCUUUUCCAGCGAAAGCGAGCAGGGAAGGGGUGGACACAGCCAGUGGUGGGCUUUGGGAGCCAGUCGCAGUGCCCGCUGGAAUUGUCAGCGCCUCCGCCCUGGGGCCUGCACACUUGGGACCAGUGGCGUCCUCCUCUUCCUUGGUUUUGCCCUGAGUAAGUUGGGGAGACCAACACCCAUGUCCCAGGUGCACAAAGUCUCUGGAGAAUAUGAGGUCACAGUAAGAUGAUCAUCUCUCUGGGUUCAGCCACAUACCUGCCAGCUGCUACUCAUCCUCGUUUAGAGCUACCUUUUUCCCACCAGCCAGAAUCUACAUACCUGGACUAAGUGGGGAGGCUGCUGGGAUGCCCCUUAGUCCCCUGUCACAAAUCCCCCAGCUCACUCUUCUGCGGCCCCAGCAGGUGUCUGGUGGACUUGGCCCACAAGUCCCACCUCAGCUGCAGGGAAAAAAAAAGGAAAAAAAAAACAAUGCCAACAGCCCAGCGUCCGUGAGCAACCCAACAGUAACAAAGCAUGUGUUCGGGAUGGAGGAAG
This is a non-coding RNA of Manis javanica (Malayan pangolin), 7189 nucleotides long. The record is from RefSeq and is a predicted model, not a curated record. Lineage: Eukaryota; Metazoa; Chordata; Mammalia; Pholidota; Manidae.